GACAGAGGUGCCAAGCGUUAGGCGGAAUCACUGGGCUUAAAGCGUGUGUAGGCGGAUCGUUAAGUACCUUGUGAAAUCCCACGGCUCAACCGUGGAACUGCUCGGUAUACUGGCGGUCUUGAGCCACCUAGGGGCAACUGGAACAAGCGGUGGAGCGGUGAAAUGCGUAGAUAUCAGGAGGAACACCGGUGGCGAAGGCGGCUCUCUGGACCACAACUGACGCUGAGGCGCGAAAGCUAGGGGAGCAAACAGG
Molecule: ribosomal RNA, 253 nt
Filed under: uncultured bacterium
Lineage: Bacteria
Description: partial 16S ribosomal RNA
Rfam family: Bacterial small subunit ribosomal RNA
Source: RNAcentral